Molecule: ribosomal RNA, 418 nt
Filed under: uncultured bacterium
Lineage: Bacteria
Description: bacterial SSU rRNA
Rfam family: Bacterial small subunit ribosomal RNA
Source: RNAcentral
UAGGGAAUAUUGCACAAUGGGGGAAACCCUGAUGCAGCGACGCCGCGUGAAGGAAGAAGUAUCUCGGUAUGUAAACUUCUAUCAGCAGGGAAGAAAAUGACGGUACCUGACUAAGAAGCCCCGCUAACUACGUGCCAGCAGCCGCGGUAAUAACGUAGGGGCAAGCGGUUAUCCGGAUUUACUGGGUGUAAAGGGAGCGUAGACGGAGAGGCAAGUCUGGAGUGAAAACCCGGGCGUCAACCCGGCAGCGCUUGGCAAUUGAACUGUUUUUUCUAGAGUGUCGGAGAGGUAAGUGGAAUUCCUAGUGUAGCGGUGAAAUGCGUAGAUAUUAGGAGGAACACCAGUGGCGAAGGCGGCUUACUGGACGAUGACUGACGUUGAGGCUCGAAAGCGUGGGGAGCAAACAGGAUUAGAUACC